UUCCCAUGCUGGGAAUCAAACCAGGGCCUUCUGAUUGAAAACCAGAUAUCCUAGUAACUAGACUACAGGGGA
This is a non-coding RNA of Cordylochernes scorpioides, 72 nucleotides long. NCBI's taxonomy places the organism in Eukaryota, Metazoa, Arthropoda, Arachnida, Pseudoscorpiones, Chernetidae. The record is from the annotation of a GenBank genome assembly.